Molecule: long non-coding RNA, 1311 nt
Organism: Schistocerca gregaria
Lineage: Eukaryota; Metazoa; Arthropoda; Insecta; Orthoptera; Acrididae
Exons: 2
Source: RefSeq, a predicted model, not a curated record
GCUGGCGGCGCUGCAGUUCCAAGCUGAGCUCUGAGACGAGUGAAAGAAACAAAAAAAAAUCCAACAUAAAUGAGAGGAGUAGAGGACGCUGAUCAUAUCAGAGACAUCUGAUUCUGCAAACAUGUUCAGAGGGCUGAAGAAUGGAGUUAAGUUAGUCUGAUGACAUAAAACAAAUGAACGUGCUUUCGUUGUUUGUUUUGUAAAUGAUACUGUAAGGUGCUUCGUUGUUAAUGUUACACAAAAUGCAUGUAAAAGGAUCGUAGGCUGCCUCGCGUUUUAAAAUUGACGCAAGAAAGAACUUUUGGUUGCUGUGUUAAGUUAUGCAUCAGUGAUGUGAGAAACAACAAGAAAGAGCAUAAAGAAACAAUUAUGAACGACCGCGUGACAAUGUCAUAAUGGUUUUCGACUGGUUCCAUCAGAGAAAUUGCAUGUAUGCAGGCCAUGUGGAAGAGUAUACAAGCAGAGAUACACACUGAACAGGCAUCUGCGAUAUGAAUGUGGAUUUUCGAAGAAACAGUUCCAUUGUCCAAUUUGCCAGAAACAAUUUAAUCGUCCAGAAUGUGCCCGUGCUCAUCACUACAAAUACCAUUUCUCUCACCAUUAAGAGCUUAUCCUAAAGUGCAUGUGCUUUUUUUAGAAGUAUUUUCUCCUUCUUUUACAUGGCGUUACAUUUGUGUCGUGUGUGUGUGUGUGUGUGUGUGUGUGUGUGUGUGUGUGUAGGGGGGGGGGGGGUGUAAUAAUUUGAAAGGAAGGUACUUAGACUUAACUCAAAAUUUCAUAAUGAGACAAAAAACUUUGUAUUUGGUGUGAUGCAGGUUUCAGACUGGAGCCACCAGAGGAGAUCCAUGAAUGUAAAAUGUGUGGCAGAGUGUACAAGAAACGCUACACCCUCAACAGGCACAUACGAUAUGAAUGUGGAUUUUCCAGGAGACAGUUCCACUGUCCAGUUUGUGGCAAACAGUUCAAUCGUCCUGAUCACUAUCGUACACAUUUGGUGGUUCAUGAAGUAAAGCCAUUUAAUGGAACGAGGUUAAAAACACCAUUUAUAUUGUAAAGAGACUUAAUCAUGUACUGAGAGUUUAAGGCUACAUUUUAAUUAUGUAUAACAAUCAGUGGUAACAAAUUGAAAUGCUGAUGAAAGCAUAUAGUGUUUUUAUGUUUAACAGGAAAAAAAUACUUGUAAUAUAGUAAGUGUUGUAACUAUUGUUAGUAUUUGGCUUUUAUAAACUUUGUGCCUUAUUUUAUCAGGCUUUACAAUAAAGAAUACUGAAAUAUGUACAAUACUAAAAGUAUUUAUUGUACAUUCUUGAA